AUAAAAAAUAAAAGUUAAUAUUAAAUACACCAUUAUUAAAAAAUCAAAACAUUUACAAAUUUAGUAAAGGAGAUUAAAAAUUUAUACAUAUAAACUUUUUUAGUACUAAAAAGGAACUAUAUUAAAUAUUCAAUUAGUUAAGAAUAACCUUGUACCUUUUGCAUCAUGGCUUAGCUAGAUUUAACUUUUAAAUUAAAUUUCUCGAAAUUUGAUGAGCUAUUUUAUGUUUCUAUUAUAGAAGAUAAAAAUUAACUGUAGCAAAAGUUUUUUAAAAACAUAAAAUAGAAAUGAUAUUUUUUCCGAAUCAAAUGAUAGCUAGUUUUUCUUUAAAUGUAUAGAAGUACAUAAAAUUAAAAAUUAUUAAAUUAAUCUUUUUAAUUUAACAAUAUUUUAAUUAAAAAAAAUUUAUGAGGAUAAGCUCAUAAAUAAAAAUAUUAAAUAUAUAUUUUAUUUUUAAAUUUAAGCUUGAAAAUAGCUAUAAUUUAAAUUGAUUUUGUUAUAAUUUCAUUAAAAUAAUAAAAAAAAAUAAAUAUAUUAAAUAAAUAAAGAAAAUAACUUGUUAAUUAAAAUUAAGUUGUACAUAUGCUAAAAUGAGUAUUAAUAGAUAUAAAAAUUUAAAAAUAAAUGAAUUAAAUCCAAGAACUUAUUUCUUAAAAAAUAAAAUCAAAAAAAGGAACUCGGCAAAAACUUGCUCUGCCUGUUUAGCAAAAACAUGGCUCUUUGAUAUACACCUAUAAAGAGUCCGGCCUGCCCAGUGAGAUUUCAACGGCCGCAGUAUCUUAACUGUGCUAAGGUAGCAUAAUAAUUUGUCCUAUAAUUGAGGACUGGAAUGAAUGGUCUCACAAGAGCAAAGCUGUCUCUUUUUGAUUAGAUAGAAUUUAACUUUCAGAUGAAGAGGUCUGAAUAUAAUUAAAAGACAAGAAGACCCUAUCGAGCUUUAAAAAAAUUAGUAAAAUCUAUUUUAUACUACGUAAAAAUAAAUUAUUAAACAUUUUGGUUGGGGCGACUAAGGAACAAAAAAAGCUUCUUUAAUUUACUGAAACUUACUAGUUUUGAUCCAUAAGUUAUGAUUAAUGAAAUUAGUUACCGUAGGGAUAACAGCAUUAUCUUUUUUGAGAGCUCUAAUCGAAAAAAAGGUUUGUGACCUCGAUGUUGGACCAGAAUAUCCUAAAGGUGCAGAAGUCUUUAAGGGUUGGUCUGUUCGACCAUUAAAAUUCU
RNAcentral lists this ribosomal RNA (1218 nucleotides) under Crepidula fornicata. RNAcentral describes it as "partial 16S ribosomal RNA". The stretch from base 658 to 1218 matches the Rfam family "Eukaryotic large subunit ribosomal RNA", at positions 1890 to 2949 of the family's 3401-position model. Lineage: Eukaryota; Metazoa; Mollusca; Gastropoda; Littorinimorpha; Calyptraeidae. The record is from RNAcentral.